This 497-nucleotide ribosomal RNA is filed under the name uncultured bacterium. Its description in RNAcentral is "partial 16S ribosomal RNA". It matches the Rfam family "Bacterial small subunit ribosomal RNA", at positions 28 to 507 of the family's 1533-position model. The record is from RNAcentral.
GAUGAACGCUGGCGGCGUGCCUAAUACAUGCAAGUCGAGCGAACGGACGAGAAGCUUGCUUCUCUGAUGUUAGCGGCGGACGGGUGAGUAACACGUGGAUAACCUACCUAUAAGACUGGGAUAACUUCGGGAAACCGGAGCUAAUACCGGAUAAUAUUUUGAACCGCAUGGUUCAAAAGUGAAAGACGGUCUUGCUGUCACUUAUAGAUGGAUCCGCGCUGCAUUAGCUAGUUGGUAAGGUAACGGCUUACCAAGGCAACGAUGCAUAGCCGACCUGAGAGGGUGAUCGGCCACACUGGAACUGAGACACGGUCCAGACUCCUACGGGAGGCAGCAGUAGGGAAUCUUCCGCAAUGGGCGAAAGCCUGACGGAGCAACGCCGCGUGAGUGAUGAAGGUCUUCGGAUCGUAAAACUCUGUUAUUAGGGAAAAACAUACGUGUAAGUAACUGUGCACAUCUUGACGGUACCUAAUCAGAAAGCCACGGCUAACUACGUG